Molecule: ribosomal RNA, 497 nt
Filed under: uncultured bacterium
Lineage: Bacteria
Description: partial 16S ribosomal RNA
Rfam family: Bacterial small subunit ribosomal RNA
Source: RNAcentral
GAUGAACGCUGGCGGCGUGCCUAAUACAUGCAAGUCGAGCGAACGGACGAGAAGCUUGCUUCUCUGAUGUUAGCGGCGGACGGGUGAGUAACACGUGGAUAACCUACCUAUAAGACUGGGAUAACUUCGGGAAACCGGAGCUAAUACCGGAUAAUAUUUUGAACCGCAUGGUUCAAAAGUAAAAGACGGUCUUGCUGUCACUUAUAGAUGGAUCCGCGCUGCAUUAGCUAGUUGGUAAGGUAACGGCUUACCAAGGCAACGAUGCAUAGCCGACCUGAGAGGGGGGUCGGCCACACGAGAAGUGAGCCGCGGUCCAGACUACUACGAGAGGCAGCAGUAGGGAAUCUUCCGCAAUGGGCGAAAGCAUGGCGGAGCAACGCCGCGUGAGUGAUGAAGGUCUUCGGAUCGUAAAACUCUGUUAUUAGGGAAGAACAUAUGUGUAAGGAACUGUGCACAUCUUGACGGUACCUAAUCAGAAAGCAACGGCUAACUACGUG